This 387-nucleotide ribosomal RNA is filed under the name Choanoflagellata sp. Its description in RNAcentral is "partial small subunit ribosomal RNA". It matches the Rfam family "Eukaryotic small subunit ribosomal RNA", at positions 582 to 975 of the family's 1831-position model. Lineage: Eukaryota; Choanoflagellata. The record is from RNAcentral.
AUUCCAGCUCCAAUAGCGUAUAUUAAAGUUGUUGCAGUUAAAAAGCUCGUAGUUGGACUUCUGGUUUGGGGUGGUGGUCCGCCUAACGGUGUGCACUGUUGCCUUGAGCCUUCUUCCUGUAGUCUCAUUGUGCACUUAAUUGUGUGCUUUGGUGAAUAUGGGACCUUUACUUUGAAAAAAUUAGAGUGUUCAAAGCAGGCCUUCGCUUGAAUACAUUAGCAUGGAAUAAUAGAAUAGGACUUUGGUUCUAUUUUGUUGGUUUCUAGGACCGAAGUAAUGAUUAAUAGGGACGGUUGGGGGCAUUAGUAUUUAAUUGUCAGAGGUGAAAUUCUUGGAUUUAUGAAAGACUAACUACUGCGAAAGCAUUUGCCAAGGAUGUUUUCAUUA